GGCAGCAGUGGGGAAUAUUGGACAAUGGGSGAAAGCCUGAUCCAGCCAUGCCGCGUGUGUGAAGAAGGUCUUCGGAUUGUAAAGCACUUUAAGUUGGGAGGAAGGGCAGUAAGUUAAUACCUUGCUGUUUUGACGUUACCAACAGAAUAAGCACCGGCUAACUUCGUGCCAGCAGCCGCGGUAAUACGAAGGGUGCAAGCGUUAAUCGGAAUUACUGGGCGUAAAGCGCGCGUAGGUGGUUCAGCAAGUUGGAUGUGAAAUCCCCGGGCUCAACCUGGGAACUGCAUCCAAAACUACUGAGCUAGAGUACGGUAGAGGGUGGUGGAAUUUCCUGUGUAGCGGUGAAAUGCGUAGAUAUAGGAAGGAACACCRGUGGCGAAGGCGACCACCUGGA
RNAcentral lists this ribosomal RNA (394 nucleotides) under uncultured Pseudomonas sp. RNAcentral describes it as "bacterial SSU rRNA". It matches the Rfam family "Bacterial small subunit ribosomal RNA", at positions 347 to 733 of the family's 1533-position model. Lineage: Bacteria; Pseudomonadati; Pseudomonadota; Gammaproteobacteria; Pseudomonadales; Pseudomonadaceae. The record is from RNAcentral.